AAAAUCUGGACUGAUGCUCAGAGCUACUGCAGACAGCAUUAUACAGACUUGCCCACUAUCCACAACUCUGAGGAAAAUAACCAGAUAAAUCAAAUUCUUUUACCUGGAUAUUACACCUGGUUCGGUCUGUUCUUGGACUCUUGGGAAUGGUCUGAUAAAUGGAGUCGCUUCUUCAGACACUGGGCAGCAGGUCAACCAUCCCAGAGUUCAGGAUCUGGUGACUGUGUUGGCAUGUCAAGAAACAACUCUGGCAGAUGGUCUCAAUACAGCCUUUUAUCUGCUAUGGAGAUGACAAGAGAAAACAAAUUGUGAGACUGAAAGUGGCAUGUAAUGGAAAAUGCACCUUCACUACAGACGGGCAUUCUGAAUGAGAUAAAUGAAAAGCUGAAGAACAUGAUGUUGGAGAGUGACAGCAAAAUAAGGAGAAGUGGGGAAGAUGGAGAGGUGUUUCAUCAGGAGAACAACCAUAUGGUGAAUUUAGCUAAUAAAUGUAAAAGCCAUCCGUAAUGUUUUAAACACAGUUUUAAAGAAUAUCAAGUAAUGUUACUAUAUUGUCUUGAGGAAAUGAAAAAUAGUAGUAGUACAAUACAAUAUUAACAACAGUAAUGAAUUUGCAUUCUUACAAGAUUAUAGGCAA
Cyprinus carpio carpio is the source of this 637-nucleotide long non-coding RNA. NCBI's taxonomy places the organism in Eukaryota, Metazoa, Chordata, Actinopteri, Cypriniformes, Cyprinidae. The record is from Ensembl.